This 468-nucleotide ribosomal RNA is filed under the name uncultured bacterium. RNAcentral's name for it is "partial 16S ribosomal RNA". It matches the Rfam family "Bacterial small subunit ribosomal RNA", at positions 28 to 507 of the family's 1533-position model. The record is from RNAcentral.
GACGAACGCUGGCGGCGUGCUUAAUACAUGCAAGUCGAACGGAAAGGCCCUGCGUUUGUGGGGUGCUCGAGUGGCGAACGGGUGAGUAAAACGUGAGUAAAAUGCCCCUGACAUAGGGAUAACAUCUGGAAACUGGGGCUAAUAUCGGAUAGGAGCUCUUGCUGCAUGGUGGUGGUUGGAAAGAUUCGGCCGUAUGGGAUGGACUCGCAGCUUAUCAGCCUGUUGGGGGGGUAGGGGAUGACCAAGGGUUUGACGGAUAGCCGGCCUGAGAGGGUUGCCGGCCACAAUGCGACUGAGAGACGGCCCAGAAUCCUACGGGAGGCAGCAGUGGAGAAUAUUGCACAAUGAGCGGAAGCCUGAUGCGGCGACGCCGCGUGCGGGAUGACGGCCUUCGGGUUAUAAACAGCUUUGGCAUGUGACGAAGCGUGAUUGACGGUAAUGAGUAAGAAAGCACCGGCUAACUACGUG